Molecule: ribosomal RNA, 497 nt
Filed under: uncultured bacterium
Lineage: Bacteria
Description: partial 16S ribosomal RNA
Rfam family: Bacterial small subunit ribosomal RNA
Source: RNAcentral
GAUGAACGCUGGCGGCGUGCCUAAUACAUGCAAGUCGAGCGAACAGACGAGGAGCUUGCUCCUCUGACGUUAGCGGCGGACGGGUGAGUAACACGUGGAUAACCUACCUAUAAGACUGGGAUAACUUCGGGAAACCGGAGCUAAUACCGGAUAAUAUAUUGAACCGCAUGGUUCAAUAGUGAAAGACGGUUUUGCUGUCACUUAUAGAUGGAUCCGCGCCGCAUUAGCAAGUUGGUAAGGUAACGGCUUACCAAGGCAACGAUGCGUAGCCGACCUGAGAGGGUGAUCGCCCACCCUGGAACUGGGCCACGGUCCAGACUCCUACGGGAGGCAGCAGUCGGGAAUCUUCCGCAAUGGGCGAAAGCCUGACGGAGCAACGCCGCGUGAGUGAUGAAGGUCUUCGGAUCGUAAAACUCUGUUAUUAGGGAAGAACAAAUGUGUAAGUAACUAUGCACGUCUUGACGGUACCUAAUCAGAAAGCCACGGCUAACUACGUG